This 1399-nucleotide ribosomal RNA is filed under the name Mycolicibacterium rhodesiae NBB3. RNAcentral describes it as "bacterial SSU rRNA". It matches the Rfam family "Bacterial small subunit ribosomal RNA". The record is from RNAcentral. Lineage: Bacteria; Bacillati; Actinomycetota; Actinomycetes; Mycobacteriales; Mycobacteriaceae.
CUGGCUCAGGACGAACGCUGGCGGCGUGCUUAACACAUGCAAGUCGAACGGAAAGGCCCUUCGGGGUACUCGAGUGGCGAACGGGUGAGUAACACGUGGGUGAUCUGCCCUGCACUUUGGGAUAAGCCUGGGAAACUGGGUCUAAUACCGGAUAGGACUACGCGAUGCAUGUCGUGUGGUGGAAAGCUUUUGCGGUGUGGGAUGGGCCCGCGGCCUAUCAGCUUGUUGGUGAGGUUAUGGCUUACCAAGGCGACGACGGGUAGCCGGCCUGAGAGGGUGACCGGCCACACUGGGACUGAGAUACGGCCCAGACUCCUACGGGAGGCAGCAGUGGGGAAUAUUGCACAAUGGGCGCAAGCCUGAUGCAGCGACGCCGCGUGAGGGAUGACGGCCUUCGGGUUGUAAACCUCUUUCAGCAGGGACGAAGCGCAAGUGACGGUACCUGUAGAAGAAGGACCGGCCAACUACGUGCCAGCAGCCGCGGUAAUACGUAGGGUCCGAGCGUUGUCCGGAAUUACUGGGCGUAAAGAGCUCGUAGGUGGUUUGUCGCGUUGUUCGUGAAAACUCACAGCUCAACUGUGGGCGUGCGGGCGAUACGGGCAGACUUGAGUACUGCAGGGGAGACUGGAAUUCCUGGUGUAGCGGUGGAAUGCGCAGAUAUCAGGAGGAACACCGGUGGCGAAGGCGGGUCUCUGGGCAGUAACUGACGCUGAGGAGCGAAAGCGUGGGGAGCGAACAGGAUUAGAUACCCUGGUAGUCCACGCCGUAAACGGUGGGUACUAGGUGUGGGUUUCCUUCCUUGGGAUCCGUGCCGUAGCUAACGCAUUAAGUACCCCGCCUGGGGAGUACGGCCGCAAGGCUAAAACUCAAAGAAAUUGACGGGGGCCCGCACAAGCGGCGGAGCAUGUGGAUUAAUUCGAUGCAACGCGAAGAACCUUACCUGGGUUUGACAUGCACAGGACGCUGGUAGAGAUAUCAGUUCCCUUGUGGCCUGUGUGCAGGUGGUGCAUGGCUGUCGUCAGCUCGUGUCGUGAGAUGUUGGGUUAAGUCCCGCAACGAGCGCAACCCUUAUCUUAUGUUGCCAGCGCGUAAUGGCGGGGACUCGUGAGAGACUGCCGGGGUCAACUCGGAGGAAGGUGGGGAUGACGUCAAGUCAUCAUGCCCCUUAUGUCCAGGGCUUCACACAUGCUACAAUGGCCGGUACAAAGGGCUGCGAUGCCGUGAGGUGGAGCGAAUCCUUUCAAAGCCGGUCUCAGUUCGGAUCGGGGUCUGCAACUCGACCCCGUGAAGUCGGAGUCGCUAGUAAUCGCAGAUCAGCAACGCUGCGGUGAAUACGUUCCCGGGCCUUGUACACACCGCCCGUCACGUCAUGAAAGUCGGUAACACCCGAAGCCGGUGG